This 492-nucleotide ribosomal RNA is filed under the name uncultured bacterium. RNAcentral's name for it is "partial 16S ribosomal RNA". It matches the Rfam family "Bacterial small subunit ribosomal RNA", at positions 29 to 507 of the family's 1533-position model. The record is from RNAcentral.
AGUGAACGCUGGCGGUAGGCCUAACACAUGCAAGUCGAACGGCAGCACAGUAAGAGCUUGCUCUUACGGGUGGCGAGUGGCGGACGGGUGAGGAAUACAUCGGAAUCUACUUUUUCGUGGGGGAUAACGUAGGGAAACUUACGCUAAUACCGCAUACGACCUACGGGUGAAAGCAGGGGAUCUUCGGACCUUGCGCGAUUGAAUGAGCCGAUGUCGGAUUAGCUAGUUGGCGGGGUAAAGGCCCACCAAGGCGACGAUCCGCAGCUGGUCUGAGAGGAUGAUCAGCCACACUGGAACUGAGACACGGUCCAGACUCCUACGGGAGGCAGCAGUGGGGAAUAUUGGACAAUGGGCGCAAGCCUGAUCCAGCCAUACCGCGUGGGUGAAGAAGGCCUUCGGGUUGUAAAGCCCUUUUGUUGGGAAGGAAAAGCAGCAGGUUAAUACCCCGCUGUUCUGACGGUACCCAAAGAAUAAGCACCGGCUAACUUCGUG